RNAcentral lists this long non-coding RNA (809 nucleotides) under Homo sapiens (human). Its description in RNAcentral is "PCBP1 antisense RNA 1". Lineage: Eukaryota; Metazoa; Chordata; Mammalia; Primates; Hominidae. The record is from RNAcentral.
CGGGGGGGAGGGGCGGCGAGGCGAGGCCUGCGGAGCGGAGGAAGACAAACAUAAAGAUGAAGUGCUUAAUUCAAGGUCACACAAUGUCGGGGAUGGACCUCCAGAUUUCCUUACUGUACUUAUCCUGUAUUACAUGAAGGAAAUGAAAUAAAAAGACUGCAGCCCCACUCCCAGCUACUCAGUGAGGUGGUAGCUAGAGACGGAGUCUUGCUAUGUUGCCCAGGCUGGUCUUGAACUCCUCACCUCAAGCGAUCCUCCCGUCUUGGCCUCCCAAGUGUCAGGAUUACGGGCAUGUGCUAUCACACCCAACCUGAUACAUUGCCUUUAUAAAUUUUUUUUUCUUUAUUCUAAAAACCAGAAAAAACAAAACUGGAUACAUGUGCAGAACAUGCAGGUUUGUUACAUAGCUGUACGUGUGCCAUGGUGGUUUGCUGCACCUAUUGACCUAUCCUGUGAGACGUGGUCUUGUAACACAGUGGUUAAGAAUGUGACUUUGGAGCCAGCCUGCUAGGGGCUGAAUUCUGACUCAGCCAUUUACUAACUGUGUGACCUUAGGUCACAGAAUUUUCCACACUCCUUGACAGAGGUGCUUAACCCUUAUCCAUCAGCAUUCUCAGACAGCACCUCCGGUUAGGGACAGUAUCUGACCGUCCGACAUCCCUGCAGCCCCCAUGUGUCACACAGACUCAGCCUCAGGUAGAUGGUUUCCGUAGAUGGUGGCUUUCUUUGGACCCUUGACAUCAACCAGUUACUAUUUGGGGACCAGAUGUGCAGAGGUAAUGAAUACCAGGGAAUCAGGAAACCACUGG